CCGUAGCCCCGAUAGCAGCAAAAAUCCUUUGCUGUGGCGGGAGCCAAAAGCAAAGAUUGCAGCGCAUAGCGGGACAAAAC
Molecule: non-coding RNA, 80 nt
Organism: Flavobacterium fryxellicola
Lineage: Bacteria; Pseudomonadati; Bacteroidota; Flavobacteriia; Flavobacteriales; Flavobacteriaceae
Source: Rfam